UUAACCCAUUUAACAACUCAACUCAUCAAAUUAAAUGAGUUAUGGUUUGACCCAACCCAUUUAACAAAAUGAGUUGGGUCAACCUAUAACUCAUUUAACUUUAAACUCAUUUGAUUAUGAGU
RNAcentral lists this microRNA precursor (122 nucleotides) under Arabidopsis suecica. RNAcentral describes it as "MIR405". It matches the Rfam family "MIR405 microRNA precursor family". The record is from RNAcentral. Lineage: Eukaryota; Viridiplantae; Streptophyta; Magnoliopsida; Brassicales; Brassicaceae.